RNAcentral lists this small RNA (657 nucleotides) under Pongo abelii (Sumatran orangutan). RNAcentral's name for it is "processed transcript". Lineage: Eukaryota; Metazoa; Chordata; Mammalia; Primates; Hominidae. The record is from RNAcentral.
UCUCGGCCACCUCAAGGAUAAUCACUAAAUUCUGCCUAAAGGACUGAGGAACGGUGCCUGGAAAAGGGCAAGAAUAUCACGGCAUGGGCAUGAGUAGCUUGAAAUUGCUGAAGUAUGUCCUGUUUUUCUUCAACUUGCUCUUUUGGAUCUGUGGCUGCUGCAUUUUGGGCUUUGGGAUCUACCUGCUGAUCCACAACAACUUCGGAGUGCUCUUCCAUAACCUCCCCUCCCUCACGCUGGGCAAUGUGUUUGUCAUCGUGGGCUCUAUUAUCAUGGUAGUUGCCUUCCUGGGCUGCAUGGGCUCUAUCAAGGAAAACAAGUGUCUGCUUAUGUCGGUGAGUCCUUACAGCAGAUGUGGUGCCCCAAGUCGGGGAGAUGGUGCCUAAAUCCCAGGCAAGAUGUUUCUUGGUAGAUCACUUAUAGGCACAGAAAGAUCAUAGGAAAAUGAGAUUGGUACCUCAGAUCAGCCAAGUCUGCCCAGACCAAUAGUAUAUUAUGUAAGACUAGGGUCCCAUGGACAGGUGAAAGAGGGCAUUGCUAUCCCCCUUGUAGCCAUUUUUACACUGCUAAUAAUGACUUUUGUCAUUAUUAUAAUUCCCCUUGAUAGCAUUUUAUUUUUUCUUUAUGACUGGAUGAAAUCAGGUGUCAUCCAUCUUC